Thalassophryne amazonica is the source of this 187-nucleotide long non-coding RNA. RefSeq lists it as uncharacterized. The transcript is spliced from 3 exons. NCBI's taxonomy places the organism in Eukaryota, Metazoa, Chordata, Actinopteri, Batrachoidiformes, Batrachoididae. The record is from RefSeq and is a predicted model, not a curated record.
UGUUGCUUGUGCAUAUUUUCCUACCACAUUUUUCCCUUUCAGUCAACCUUCCAUGAAUAUGCUUUAAUAUAGCACUCUGUGAACAGUCAGCCCUUUCAGUAAUGACCUUCUGUGGCUUCCCCUCCUUGUGGAGGGCAUCAAUGAGCAUCUUUUGGGCAACUGUCAAGUCAGGAUGAACCAAACAGAG